This 254-nucleotide ribosomal RNA is filed under the name uncultured bacterium. RNAcentral describes it as "partial 16S ribosomal RNA". It matches the Rfam family "Bacterial small subunit ribosomal RNA", at positions 524 to 776 of the family's 1533-position model. The record is from RNAcentral.
UACAUGUGGGGCAAGCGUUGUUCGGAAUUACUGGGCAUAAAGGGUGCGUAGGUGGUUUGGUAAGUCAGUGGUGAAAUCGUCCGGCCCAACCGGACACGUGCCAAUGAUACUGCCGAACUCGAGUGCGUGAGGGGUGGGGGGAACGAGCAGUGUAGCGGUAAAAAUGCGUAGAUAUUGCUCGGAAGGCCAAAGCCGAAGGGACCCCACUGGUACGUAACUGACGCUGAGGCACGAAAGCGUGGGGAGCAAACAGG